This 279-nucleotide unclassified non-coding RNA is filed under the name plant metagenome. RNAcentral describes it as "partial contains small subunit ribosomal RNA, internal transcribed spacer 1, and 5.8S ribosomal RNA". The record is from RNAcentral.
UUUCCGUAGGUGAACCUGCGGAAGGAUCAUUAACAAAUCAUGAUGGUGGCUGUGUGUAUGUUUGUACGCAUGGCCCCAUGUACAACCAAACCCGCGCAGCCAUGACUGGUUCGAUGCGCUACCUCCUUUCCCUACCAAGGUGAAAUGGAAGUGGAACAGCGGUGACUGGAGUCUGCCAGUACGCCGGUCCGACCCACAUAGACGCAUGUAUGCUUGACGGAGUUCGUUGACACUCUAAAAUCACAACUUUUAACAAUGGAUCUCUUGGCUCUUGCAACC